This is a long non-coding RNA of Triticum aestivum (bread wheat), 556 nucleotides long. RefSeq lists it as uncharacterized. The record is from RefSeq and is a predicted model, not a curated record. The transcript has 2 exons. Lineage: Eukaryota; Viridiplantae; Streptophyta; Magnoliopsida; Poales; Poaceae.
AAGAAUUCACGGACAGCUUGGAGCACCCAUAUCAUGUGCCACUGGCGUUGCUGUCGUCACGUGAGGAGGCGCCUGCUUUGCCGGCGGAUUCCAAUUUAGGGCUCCGGCUGUGCGCAACGGGUAGGGGGCUGCAGCACUGGGCGGUCUGCAGGCGAGUGCUGCUGGAGGAAAGAUGCCUCGCUGACCCAGUCUGCGCAAUCCACUGGGAAGGUGAAUCCCGAAGCCCCUGAUGGACGAAUAGGUUGAGCUUCGGUAGUGCACCACCAGACCAGACGCCGUGUGCCUCGCGGAUGAGUGCGGUUGAACAAUCUAUCCACAAAUUUUCAGAAGAACCUACGAAAAGAGUGGUGAAACCAGAUCUUGGGUUGAGUUUUUACUCGUUGGGUGACGCUUAUGACUUACAAUUUGUAUUCUUUGGUGUGUUGUCUGAUCUGUGCUGGACGCUUAUCCAUCCAUGUAUUAAGUGUUUAUUGUUUUAAACAUUUGUAAUGAUCCCAGGUUGGGAUAUAUAUCUAGUUAGUAGUGACCUGAAUAAAAACAGAGACUUAAGCUUUCA